ACGGAGUCCGCUCUGUCCAACUUCAAAACUUAUAUCAAUUUAUCUGAAAACUUGAAAAUUUAAAACUUUCAACAACGGAUCUCUUGGUUCUCACAUCGAU
Molecule: unclassified non-coding RNA, 100 nt
Filed under: Starmerella meliponinorum
Lineage: Eukaryota; Fungi; Ascomycota; Dipodascomycetes; Dipodascales; Trichomonascaceae
Description: sequence contains ITS1
Source: RNAcentral